RNAcentral lists this ribosomal RNA (741 nucleotides) under Salmonella enterica. Its description in RNAcentral is "partial 23S ribosomal RNA". It matches the Rfam family "Bacterial large subunit ribosomal RNA", at positions 2202 to 2925 of the family's 2925-position model. Lineage: Bacteria; Pseudomonadati; Pseudomonadota; Gammaproteobacteria; Enterobacterales; Enterobacteriaceae. The record is from RNAcentral. RNAcentral also lists the same sequence under 3 other names.
ACCCUUUAAUGUUUGAUGUUCUAACGUGGACCCGUUACCCGGGUUGCGGACAGUGUCUGGUGGGUAGUUUGACUGGGGCGGUCUCCUCCUAAAGAGUAACGGAGGAGCACGAAGGUUGGCUAAUCCUGGUCGGACAUCAGGAGGUUAGUGCAAUGGCAUAAGCCAGCUUGACUGCGAGCGUGACGGCGCGAGCAGGUGCGAAAGCAGGUCAUAGUGAUCCGGUGGUUCUGAAUGGAAGGGCCAUCGCUCAACGGAUAAAAGGUACUCCGGGGAUAACAGGCUGAUACCGCCCAAGAGUUCAUAUCGACGGCGGUGUUUGGCACCUCGAUGUCGGCUCAUCACAUCCUGGGGCUGAAGUAGGUCCCAAGGGUAUGGCUGUUCGCCAUUUAAAGUGGUACGCGAGCUGGGUUUAGAACGUCGUGAGACAGUUCGGUCCCUAUCUGCCGUGGGCGCUGGAGAACUGAGGGGGGCUGCUCCUAGUACGAGAGGACCGGAGUGGACGCAUCACUGGUGUUCGGGUUGUCAUGCCAAUGGCACUGCCCGGUAGCUAAAUGCGGAAGAGAUAAGUGCUGAAAGCAUCUAAGCACGAAACUUGCCCCGAGAUGAGUUCUCCCUGAGACUUAGAGUCUCCUGAAGGAACGUUGAAGACGACGACGUUGAUAGGCCGGGUGUGUAAGCGCAGCGAUGCGUUGAGCUAACCGGUACUAAUGAACCGUGAGGCUUAACCUUACAACGCCGAAG